Molecule: non-coding RNA, 186 nt
Filed under: Desulfosporosinus youngiae
Lineage: Bacteria; Bacillati; Bacillota; Clostridia; Eubacteriales; Desulfitobacteriaceae
Also listed under: 1 other name
Source: RNAcentral
UGUAUAUUGGAAAAUAAAGGUGCGCGUACUACAUAGUACAGCUUAAAAGGGAAGCAGGUAAAAUUCUGCACGGUCCCGCCACUGUAAUGGGGAAAUGUUUUAUACUAAUAGCCACUAGUCCUACCGGGAAGGCGUAAAGCAUUGAUGAACCAAAGUCAGAAGACCUGCCUUUGUUGAAUGAACCAA